This is an RNA transcript of Notechis scutatus (mainland tiger snake), 5556 nucleotides long. It is a transcript of the gene named stonin 1, with no coding region annotated. NCBI's taxonomy places the organism in Eukaryota, Metazoa, Chordata, Lepidosauria, Squamata, Elapidae. The record is from RefSeq and is a predicted model, not a curated record.
CCUCCCUCCACGUCGAUUAAAGAUGCCCCGCGGGAGUUAGCGGAACGCGCGAGGCUCGCCUUUGCCUGGGAGCAGCGAGGCUCGAUCGUCAGUUGCGAAGCCCGGGCAGGCGAAGGCAGGUUGGCCGGAGGGGAGGUCGGCAGGCGCGGGAGCCCUUGUGGUGCCCGAGGGUUGUCGGAGCUUGGGACCGGGCCAGCUGGUGAGGUGAAGGAGGCAGCUUCUGAUUUCUCCCUCCUCUUCCUUUUUUCGCCGGCAGAAGCUCUCCCACUUUCCGGCCGGCACCCGAUUUGCGGAACUCAGAGGGUUCAACACUCAGGCCGAUGAAUUACAAAUGAAACUUUUACUCAGUUUUUCCAGAUUUCAACAGCAAGAUGUUUACUGCAAAUACUGCAACCUGGGUUACUUUUGAAGAUGAAUCCCAGUCUCCUCAGAGGUCAAGAGAAAAUGAUAACGUUUGCAGACCAAAUGGGCUUAAACUCACACUGCCUAAAAUGCAAGAUUUUUCAAACCAAUUGUCCUCCAUCACCUGUACUUCUCUCUCAUCUCCUAAAAGUGAUUACUUCUAUAGCCCUGAUCCCCCCAGUAAUUCUCCACUCUGUACACCCACCAGAGACUAUCCUGUCAGUCCUUGCUUUCCUAAAUCGGGAACUCAUUUUCUUAGUCCUAUUCCAGAAUUGCCAUCCAAUGUUAAUCAUCUCCCACUGAUUGAACCACCUUCUCAAAAACUGACUGGAAUAUCUCAGCCUGUGCACAGUUCAGAGUUCUCCACUCUGAAACCAAUACAUGGUGCACAAGUUAUGCAUCAGGAAAACUCAAAGAAAUUGGAAAAUUCCUUAGACUCUCAAGCCUUUUUUCAGAAUGUUUCAAGUGAGUCUGCUUUCUCCAAUCCAUUUUGGUCAGAAGAUUCAUCUACUGGGUCCUUGUCCAGCUUUCAUGUACAUGAAAAAGAGUCAGAUUUUGAAAGAGAUUGUUCUUUUAAAGGGAAGAAAAGCUGGCCAGAUCAGAAAAGCUUAAACCAGGGUUCAUUCAAUUAUAUAUGUGAGAGGCUUGAACACUUGAAAACAGAAACUUCAAACAAUGAAAGAACUUUGAGACCCAUUCCAUGUAUAUGCACUAGAGAUGGCCUUUCUUCAUUUAUUCCAAGCAGUCUCUUUAGCAGUCAGAGAAAAGAUGGCUGGCCUUUCAUGCUGAGGAUUCCUGAAAAGAAAAAUAUGAUGUCAUCAAGGCAGUGGGGUCCUAUUUACCUUAGAAUUUUACCAGGAGGAAUCCUACAAAUGUAUUAUGAAAAAGGUCUUGAAAAACCUUUCAAAGAAUUCCAGCUGCAUCCAUAUUGCAGGCUUUCAGAACCAAAGUUAGAGAACUGCAGUAUCUCUGGGAAAAUUCAUACGGUAAAAAUUGAAUAUGUGACAUAUAUAGAGAAGAAGAAGUACCCUAAAACUGAAGUGGUUCAUGAAGCAGAGAUCGAACAGAUGCUGAAAUUAGGAACAACUGAUUACGGUGACUUCACUGACUUCCUAAUGAUAGUUGAGGAAGAGUUAAUGAAGCUUCCUGCUAUUUCAAAAUCAAAGAGACACUAUGAAGAACAAGAAAUGAUCUUGGAAAUAGUGGAUAAUUUUUGGGGGACAAUUAGUAAAGCAGAAGACAGAUUAACUGAAACUGCUGUCAUAACUCAUAUUUAUUCAUUAAACUUUUUGAAUGGCAAUUCUGAAUGCUUUAUGACACUAAAUGACUUGGAGCUUCAAAAGAGGAAUGAACAUUAUUUUGAGUCAGACAAUAAGAAAAAAUUGAUCAAAAUUAACAACUAUCACUUUCAUCAAUGUGUGAAGAAACAAGAAUUUGAGCAAUCAAGAAUAAUUAAAUUUACACCACCAGAUGGCUGUAGAGUAGAACUAAUGCGUUAUAGGACACAAUAUAAUGGAUCAGAUCUUCCAUUUUCUAUCAAAGCCUUGUUAGUUGUUCAAGGAGCUUAUGUUGAACUGCAAGCUUUCAUAAACGUGUCUUCAGCAUAUUCAUACCCUACAAAACAUUGUGAGAAUGUAAUGGUUCACUUUCCUGUUCCCUCACAAUGGAACAAAACUCUUUGGACUAUGAACCUCCAAAGACAGAGAUCCCUGAAAGCAAAAAUGAACAGAAGAACUUGCCUUGGCUCUUUAAAUGAGCUUGAAUCUGACUCCAUUAUUCAUGUCUCAGUUGGAACAGCCAAGUAUGAAAGUGCCUAUAGAGCUAUUGUGUGGAAAAUUGACAGACUACCAGAUAAAAACGCAAAUCCAGAUCAUCUGCACAGUUUGUCUUUCAAACUAGAACUUGGCUCAGAUCAAGAAAUCCCUUCUGACUGGUGCCCUUUUGCUGUGGUGCAGUUCGUUGUGUCUGAUGCAUGUGCCUCAGGAACUGAAGUGAAAUCAUGGGGAAUUGAUAGGGAUGUACAGCCUCAGAAACAUGUGAUUCAGAAAGCAUGUUAUAAUUGCCAGGUUGAAAUUGAGAAGAAAUGGAUUAGACUUGAGGGAGAAGAUCCCAAUAAGAGUGGAGAUUGUGACAUACAGUAGAAGAGACAAGUAAUUUGGAUUCUUUUUGAGGUUGUGAGAACUAUUUUAAUGUAAGCAGGAUAAUUUAAAUGCAGUAAAGCAAUGUUGGAAGAUUUCAGUAUAUAAUUUUCAAAUUGUCAUAUAAAAAGUUUAGGUACAUAAUUGUCAGUUUGCUUUCUAAACAUUUAAUAUAUUAACUAUAACAUUAUAAAGGUAAUACUAUAAGUUGGUUCUGUUUCAGAGUUUGUGGGGAAAUAAACUGAACACAGUUAUAGCUUGCAACUCCCUAAGGCAGACUUACCUUUUCCUGAGGUAAUACAACUAUGCACUGCAACUGCCAUGUAAUUGGUGGGAAAAUAUAUUUGGGUUAACAAACUGCAGUAAAUUGUACUUGUACUUUUGUAUAUUCCUAAACAACCUUCUGCCUUUCAACCCAAAGGACAUACUAUAUUGAAAAUAACCAUAUUUUAUAUGACUUCAAAGUCAGCUGAUCACAAAUCAUUUUCAUGUUAGCAUCCAAAUGUUUCAACUUUUGAUGUUGUCUAGAAUCAUAAAACAUAGAUAAAAUCUGUCUGUAUAAUUUUGUUUAAUCUUCCAACUUUCACUAAAAAAGGCAGGCCCAACUAUAUUUAUUGGUGGAUUCAGUGGUGAACUUAGAGAUUUUACUGUAAAUUGAACCUUUUACAUUGUAAGUAUUUCAAUAUGUUCUUUUGCUACUUAAAAGUACAUGUGUGGGAAAUUAUUUACUAGAAUAUAACAUAGAUAUUUUUAGGGUAGUGCUGUUGGCAAAAAUAAAGGGCUAAUCCGUUGCUUCCUUCCAAAGUUGUUAAUGUAGGGGAAGCACUGCAAUAAUUUGAACUGUUCCUUUCCUUUGGGCUUUUGGUGAAAAUUGUUUUGCUUUGUAAUAUUUUGCCAUUAGGUUUUUUUUUGAAUCUCCAACAAGAACAUAUGUUAGAUUAGAAAAAAAGUCUUCAUUUGUUUUUCAUAAAAGCUGAAGAACAAGGUCUUUCAUAUGAACAUGAAAAGCAAAAUGUUCUUUUGUUCUACCAGAUGAGCUAGAAUUUACUUAAGGAGUGUGGAAUGGAUUGCACUUGGCUUUAUGAGAAAACAGCUAUAACUAAUACAAUCAGUUUACCCUUUGGGCUAUUUUGAACUUAUUUUUAAAAUUUAUUAUUUAGACAUUUGACACAUUUGGGAAGAGGACUCAUCACUAUUUUCAAUCUUGAGGCCUUGCUGCUCACAGAAGAAUGGUUUGAUGCUGAAAGUAUUAUCAACAUUUGAGCAAUAGAUGUGAUGCAGUUUGGUACUUGCUGAAUAUUCUUUAUAGUUAAAAGAGGACUUACUGGAGAACUAUUCUACAUGUGAAAAGGUAAACUAGUGUAUACUACUGCAAGUUCUGUAUGGAAUCAGUCAUGCAUCAACUUCCCUGAAUAGGUGAGAAUACCUGCGUGUUCCACAACUAAUUACCACAGGAAAUUACUCAGAAUUUAUUGUAAGAUGGCUCACUUCCAACACUUAGUCCUCCCUCUCAAUUUUCUAGCUUCUUCAGGAAACCAAAUGAGUUCCUCCUGAGCUUAACGGGAUUGAUAAUCAGGACCAAUAGGUUUCUUGGACAAAGUUUUACCUUUGAAAUCUGCAGUGGACUUAUUACCAUACUAACCAUAUCUUGUUCAGAAAUUUUUCCAAAUUUCAAAGAGUUUCUUCUCUGGAGACUUAUGCCAAUAUUCAAGGAAGGCAAACCAAAAUGCUAUUCUUAUGUUCUAGAGACAACAGAUGGAAGGAAUUUCAGGAUCUGGAAAGCAGAUUGCAAUAACAAGAUGAUUCAGAGCCUCUUAUCUUUCUGGGAGUUCAAAUACAGUACAUAUUUUGAAAAACAGUGAUUGGUCAAGCUAUCAUUAGCCUUUUUCAAAAUCAGCACAUUCUCAACUUGAUAAUUGCGUGACUUGCAGUAACAGCGAUGCGUCAAAAUAGGACAAAACCUUAUUUUUCCAUGCAACAAGCAUCCUUCCAGCAUAAGCCAACUUCUCCUUUUGCCACUUAAAACCAUUCAAGGCCUCACAACAGGCUGAGUUGAAUAAACCUGUAAGUAGGAAAAAGGUUCCUUCCUUGGAGAAUGUUUUUUUGUCAAACAUUUUGGUUUGCCUGUUACCAGUUUGUCUUUCACUUCAAAAAAAAUUGUUGACAUUUUACUUUUGUUUUCCCACUGAAGACAUGGAAACAGCAGGUGUUUUAUAUUAACUGAUGACAUGGAGAUUUGUUGUACAUAAUCUUACUGAACCCUCUGAUUACCCAGGUGCUAUCUACAGCAGUAUUGGAAGAAACAAAAUUCCUUUGGUGGUAGCAUAUGACUUUGUGGGCCCUUGUUUAAGAUCUGAAACAGCUAUCAAUUAGUUCACUGCUGGGUCUUUCUAUGGCUCUGGACAUUUUUUUCAAAGAGGUGUUUUCAAGAUUUAGAUAUGAAUUGGUUAUAGCUUACCAUGUUAAAAUAUGAAGAAAAGGAAAUCUCAAUAUCUUUGGUUUCCUAAAUCUAGUCUAUUAAUUGCAUAUAUAAAGCAGGAUGCUGCAUUUUUAGUGUUAUGAUCGGACAAGAGUUUUGGAUCCCACACAUCUCAAAGUCAUGUUUUUAAUACUGUUUACCAAAUCAUUAUUUUUGUCCUGUAUCUGACUUUAAACUCCCAUGUGGAUAUUCUCUAAGCUCUUCCCUUUUGCGGCUUCUGAUUUUAUCCAGAAGAGUAUUAGAGCUGACAUUAGCAACUUGGUCAGCAUGCGAGGAGUUCUAUAGCUUGAAUUCAGGGAUGUUCUUUCUUUUGGAUCAAAAAUCAUUUCCAUAUGAAUCAGGAAGUGAUAUUUUUAAACCUUCUUUGAGCGUAGAAGAGGAGUGAGAUAAUCAGAAUCUGUGAUACACAUUGAAAUCCUACCUGAUUAAAAUCCUGGACGUCAUAUUUUCUGCUCAUUUUGUUUUUGUAGUCAUGUUGAAAAAUAAUACAAUAUUACAAUCCCAUCAAACAAUAAUCAGAAGUGGUAGUGGCAGCAA